This 518-nucleotide ribosomal RNA is filed under the name uncultured Bacteroidota bacterium. RNAcentral's name for it is "bacterial SSU rRNA". It matches the Rfam family "Bacterial small subunit ribosomal RNA", at positions 58 to 563 of the family's 1533-position model. The record is from RNAcentral. Lineage: Bacteria; Pseudomonadati; Bacteroidota.
CAAGUCGAGGGGAAACGAUAGAGAAAGCUUGCUUUUUCUAGGCGUCGACCGGCGCACGGGUGAGUAACGCGUAUCCAACCUGCCCAUCACUUGGGGAUAACCUUGCGAAAGUAAGACUAAUACCCAAUGAUGUCUCAAGAAGACAUCUGAAUGAGAUUAAAGAUUUAUCGGUGAUGGAUGGGGAUGCGUCUGAUUAGCUUGUCGGCGGGGUAACGGCCCACCAAGGCGACGAUCAGUAGGGGUUCUGAGAGGAAGGUCCCCCACAUUGGAACUGAGACACGGUCCAAACUCCUACGGGAGGCAGCAGUGAGGAAUAUUGGUCAAUGGGCGAGAGCCUGAACCAGCCAAGUAGCGUGCAGGAUGACGGCCCUAUGGGUUGUAAACUGCUUUUAUAAGGGAAUAAAGUGAGUCUCGUGAGACUUUUUGCAUGUACCUUAUGAAUAAGGACCGGCUAAUUCCGUGCCAGCAGCCGCGGUAAUACGGAAGGUCCGGGCGUUAUCCGGAUUUAUUGGGUUUAA